UCACAGCUUCAUGCCGGUAGAUGAAGCUAUUGAAAACUACAAGGGUCAGGUGAAAUCUACCUUCGAAUCUCUCACAGAAAAGGAAUCAGACAUCCAGGAAGAGGAGCAGCAACAGAAAGAGAACAUUUCUGGAGUUCAGAAACAGUCACACAACCUUCAGUCACAGGUCACAUCCCAGUUUGCUGAACUGCACCAG
This is a long non-coding RNA of Amblyraja radiata (thorny skate), 196 nucleotides long. RefSeq lists it as uncharacterized. The record is from RefSeq and is a predicted model, not a curated record. Lineage: Eukaryota; Metazoa; Chordata; Chondrichthyes; Rajiformes; Rajidae. The transcript is spliced from 3 exons.